AUUUAAAAAAAUGUUGCAAAUUAAAAGUGGGUACAAACUAAAAAUAUAAAUAUAUGAUACAGUGUUUAGGCAUAAAACAUAAAUAUACCAUAUGUAAUUUUUCUAUCAUUGAUUAAAUAUACAAUAUCACGUGACGGUAUACAUAUGGGUACAAACACAAAUAAAUUUUUUUAAAAUAUAGGCAAAAAAAGAAACCAAUAUAUGGGUACAAAUUAAAAAUGAAAAAAAAAUUGGUACAAAUUACAAAUAGGUACAAACAAAAAAUAAAAAUAUAUGCUAAAAAAAUUUAGCCAUAAAUAUAAAUAUACUAACUGUAACAUUUUUAACACUAAAGGAAUAUAUUUAAAAAUAAAAAUAUUUUAUUAUUCAAAUAAUUAAUGAUGUUAUUAAUACCCAAGGACCUUGAUUAAAAAUUGAAAAUGAAUAGGAUUUUAAUCAAUGGAGUAGCAAAAACAAAGAUGUGAACCUAAUUUCUCCAAGAAAAAAAUAGCGCUGGUUUAUUUCAUCUAAAACACUAAGCGUCCAAUUUGUUUCCGCUCAAACUCUAUAUGUCGUUGGGGGCGUUGCAAACAAAUUGUUUAAGACAACAUAUAUAACUAUUUGGGACAUUAUUUGCAACAUUAUUUAUAGCAGUGUCGCAAAUAUUUUCACGCUAACAAAUGCCACACCAAUUUUCCCUUAUUUGUGACGGCAGUGUAAUUUGACGCAAAAAAAAAGUGUCACAAAAAGGCAUUUUUCUUGUAGUAACUUUGAAUUUUCUUUCAAUAAUGGUGUCCUGAAGUGCCAUAACCAACUUUGAUAUAUAUCCGCUUUCCAAUGGUCUUGAACGAAGAUUGAGUGAUAGAGUUAAAAUGAAGAAAUUGUUGUAGGCAUAAUUUACAGAACAAUUAUGGAGGCCUUAGAGAGAGAGGGGGUGCGGCAAUAGAGAUAUGUGUAAUUGUGGGUGUGUGUUAUCUCACCUCAUUGUGCCUUUAUUUAUAGUAGUAGGAAGGGUAAAACCUUUCCCUUUAGGAUUACAACAUUUAAUAGGUAAUCUAAUCCUAAUAGGAAUAUAAGAUACAUUCCCAUAUUUUAUAGGAUUUACACAAUCAAAUUCCUAUUCUAAAUAGGACUGCAACACUCCCCCUUGAGUGUGUAAAUACUCAAGUAAAUGGCGCAUCAAGUCUUCAUUGAUGAAGUACGUACAGUUGAUGAAGUCGUCAGCACAAUGGGCAAAUGCGAGUCUCAAAUCAACAGAAGAAUGCAUAAAAAGUAAAACUCACAAAACCUCGCUAUGGUAAAACCCAAGAUGGGAGAAAAACCCAUAGUCUAAGGAGAAAAGUGAGAAGUUGCAUUAAGUCAAAACUAUACGUCUUUUGGACGCAAGUAUAAGAGCUCUCAAGGGUAUGAUCAGCCCAGGAUAGGUGCCUCGUUAAAACCUAGUUAGGUAGCAAAAACCCAGUGGGAAAAAUGUUCCUAAUCGUAGGGAAAAAGAGUACAUUAAGAUCAAGUGAGUAUACUUCUGGAAACUCCUCCUGAGUUUGACAUAACUUCCAAAUGAGAACUACAAGCAUUGCAUAUGAGUAGUUAGGCAUACCAAUUCCUCAGACAAGCUUCUGGAAGGUUGACUUCAGCAGUGACAUCGUGUAGAGGUCGGCAAGGUUGUCUGGGAUCGGUUUGUAUGACUUCAAUCUCCUGAUGCUUUGCUGAUGUAGAUGUAGACGUAAUAUGUCUUGAUGUUGACUUCGUUGAUGUAUCAUGGCUUGGUCGGGUUGAUACAUGUGGCAUAAUCUUCAUGGAUCGUCGUUGGGACUCAACGAUGGAUGAAAAUAUAGCAAGUACUUCGAAUAUGCUCAACAAGAACUCCUAACCAUGUCUCACUUGUGGCAUAGUGAAGUAAGUUGAGUCUUGGAACGAUUCGAAGAUUUCGCAACUAGGGUCCUAUCGUGGACCUCCAAGAUAUUGCGAUAUCCCUAACGGUAAAGACAUAACCAUUCGGGGAUUUUGCUUUGUGCGGGUUUGAUAAGUAACCAACGUCAGCAUAACAAACAAGGCAAGCAUCAUUUCGAGGAUCAAGGGGGUUAGAUCAGCUCAAGAUGCGUUGGGAUUUGCCCACGUAAUACCUUCAGGGUACGUCUUUAAUACUAAUUCAGUGGUUGCGUGUAGGCGCGAUGCUGCAUCUUUACCAAGAUCAACAGCGAAUGAGAUGUCCUGUCUAAACACAAUGAGCUAAGUACAACGAAGUGCAAAGUUGAACUUUUAGAUAUGGAAUUUCGGAUUCCAUAGACUCUUCAAGAGUCUCAUUUGCAUAUAACGUAUGGACGAUCAUGGGUAUACUCAAAGGUGACACAUUCCGGGUGUAGUUCAACUCGUAGACCGAAAUACCGUCAGAACAAUGCUUCAACUUCAGGUCAAGGCAUAAAUGAGUUUUCCCAAGAUCCUUCAUCUCAAAUUCCAUCUUCAGGUGCGAGGCUGUUUUCUCAAGCUCUUCCAGAGUCUUAAUGAGAUUCGUGUUAACGACAUAAACUGUAACACUAGCAAUUUGGAAUAAGACUUCAUAGUUUAACACGCAAGGGCAUAAUUCAUAUCCUUGACUGAUCAAAUAAUCACUUAGAUGGGUGUACCACAUCCGUCGAAUUUUUCAAUCCAUAAGUGAACUCCUCAAAACGAGUUAAGAGGGUGUUCCGUGGUUUGGAACUAUUUGAACCAGUCCAUGUAAUUCUUCGGGAACUUACACGUAAAUCUCCGUAUUUAUAUCCCCAUGGAGAAAUACUAACCACAUUUCAUAAUGCUGCUAUCAAUCACAUGACGUUUUGAGAGAAACCUUGUGCCGUAAAGCGUGCAUCAUAUCGCAUUAUUUCAUUCAUCUCAUAACGUUUCCUUUCCCACUUGUAACUCAACAGGGUUACCUUGGGCAAUGUAGGAACGACAGGUCCAAUACACACUUUGGUAAGGAAUUUGACCUGGAUUGUAACUUUAGUUGUCCAAUCAGUUCUACGUUGUCACUUAAUCAACGGAACAUGGUUCGAUCGUUGCAUUUCAUUUAUGUCGGUAGCUACCAUAUAAGUGAAAACAUCAUCGAUGAUAAUCUCAUUUCAAUUCCAUUUUCUCAUCCAAACUAGUAUACUGGACCAAGAACUUCAAGUCUCGGGAGUAAUCCGGAUUAAUCUCAUGAGAUGGAAAUGAUUUGAGACAGCGAUUGAGUUUAGAUUCAUUGUUAUGCCGUGUCUUCCUCUUCCUGGGAAGUGAAUCCUACGAACCGAAUGAUAUGUUGUGCUCCAGGCCAAGACAUAUUGAUUGGUUAUCCACCGGUGUACCGAACCGUCUAACAGGGGCGUCCAAACCGUCCAACAUGGGCGGCACACCCUCCGGGGAUGUUGACUGGACGUCCGUUAAGUACGUCUAUCCUUGCAGGCAUGUUUGCAGCUGGUAUAUGAUAUCGUCACUUUAGCUAGAUCAGAGGAAUGCGUCUGGAGCAACAUUCUGAAAUCUAGAAUUCGUCGCACUUGUUUAUCACACUUGUGCGGUAUGGGGAUCGAGAUGAGACAUAGUGGGCAACGUCCAUGCAAAUUUGUGUUAUUCUACAAGAAUGUUGACUUUCUUAUCUCCCCCUAACGGCUGGAAGACUAUCUCAUUAAAGUGACAACCCGUAAAUAAGCGGUAAAGAGAUUGUGUGCAAGGGCUCGAAGAUAGCUAGUGUGAAGGAGAAUCAUGAUCGACAAAAGAUACAUAUCUUUCUUUGAAGACCCAUGGUGGUACGUUGCGAUGGCGCAACUUGGCACAUGGAAUGCGCACCCAAAUGCGUAAAUACGAAAGUCGUCAGGUUCGUACCCAGUAACCAACUAUAACGUCAUAUAGGUUGGGUGGUAAUGGGCCUCAAGGCGGACCAACAUAGUUGCGUGUAAGAUUGCAUAGUCCUAGGCAAAGACUGAAAACUUGGUACGUUUACCAAAAUUCAGGCGAUCAUUUAAAUUGCGCUUUAUGAUCGCUAGGCUAGGCUAUUUGGGGUGAACAUGGGAAUGCGAUGUUCAAUUAAAAACCCAAAAUGACAUGCAAUACUUUAUCGAAAAUCAUCGAUAUAAACUCUCUAGCAUUAUCCAGUCUUCCAGACCUUAAGGGAUAAGUAGGGUGGUAAACCCUUAAUCGGCCAAGAGGUUUAGCAGUAAUGUGUGUGGACAAACAUGUGACCAGUUUGUCGAUUCAUCAACCAAAACCAUAAAUAUUUAUAUGGUCUGCAUUUUGGUUGGAUUAGUCCACAUAUAUUCCCUUGAAUCCACUGCAAAAAUGGAGUCGUGUCGUAUCUUUGCAAGAAAUGAUAUAGAAAAUCAAUUUCCCUAAUGAGCAGGAUUGGCAAAGUGUGCUUGUAGGCACAAAAUCCUUACUUCAGAUAAGGAGAUGCGUUGUAGCAUCAUUGUUCGACCUAAGUGUCCUAAAAAGUCGUGUCAAAGCAAGUAAACUGCUCAAUCACCAGGCUAUAGGCCGGCCACAUGUGGUGUAUUCCCAGUUGGGAGACAACCCAUUGGCCCCAAAUCAAAGCUUCAGGCUCAUUUUUGGAGGUGGUGCAAAGAUAUUUCACUCUAUUUUCUUCAGUGGUUUCAUUUAUGAUCAUUGUCAUCUCGAAUAUCCUUAAAAACUCAACGUCAGGAAGAAUUUAAGGUCAUUUAAAUGAUAAUUCAGUAUCAUUCAUACAACGAGGAGCGUGCCAAUGCUCUUAAUCAGGUUGGAUAGACCUGAAGUCGUUGUUAGAGAUGUGAUUUAGGUGUAAAGUUAGUGUGCGUAGUACGCAUUCAUCCAGACAACUAACUUGCCCACAUUCCUACCUAAUCACGUGUUUAAUUGAAUCGAUCACAUGUAUUAAGAAACAUGAUUCAAUUAACUCAUAUUCGAGGACAAUAUCAAUAAGAUUAUCCAUAAGUAAAACAUACACCAAACUUGAAUCCAAGAACAUGGAAAAAUGUUCACAAAGUAAAUUUACUAAGGGGAUUCGGCCAAUAAGGUCAUCCAUGUCGAAAUUUUGCUCUGCCAACGAUGUUCGGUGGAGCAAAAUCAAUCUCACAUAUUGACUACUAGAAUGGUACUCCUCAACAACAUUGGUAGGGGUACGAACAGGUGCAUAACCAAUGAUCUGUUCCAUCAAGAUGGGAGUAGAUUCUUGCAAGGUUGAGGUUCGAGAAUAUUAUCCCUUAUUCUUGAAGUUUUAGGUCUUAUGUACCAAGGAUCAUGUUUCGGGCAUGAUGCCACACAUUGGCAGGCCCUAAUUAUACUAUAUGUUUGUGAACACAAACUCGAAAUUGUAUUGUGAAAGAAUAUGUCAUUCAGUGUAUCCCUGUCGAAGCAGUGCAUCACCAUUUGGUUAGGUUUUGACCGAACUGGGUCGAGCCAUUCGGUAGACUCUAGCCGAACUGGGUCCAUACCUUUCUCUCACGUUUGUGGUAGUAAUCAGAUCCGAGAAUUUGGUAAAUUUCCACUUUCUACAUUGUUGCUUCAGAAGCAAGUUAGAAACAUGGAAUGACGAGAAAAGUAUUCUCCAGUCAAGAUUCAAUCAGAUUUAUAAAAUUCAGAAUUGUAAUCAUUCAUGGACGUAAUCAUGGUUUGCUGCGGGCAAUUUCUUUCAUGAUUAGACGGUCUAUAGAAGUGAGCCAAAGAGCCAUGGAAUCCUCAUUCGGGGAGUAUUUCCAUUUGUAAUGCUUUGAGCAUAAGUCUUCGAAUGAAGAUUAUGGUGGAGGCUUAUUCAGCUCUUCCUUGCCAUUGUUGGCAUCAAUGGUUUCUCAGCUUCUUGAUAGUCAAGUGGAGAUUCACGUCUUGUACCCCACCUAAAGUGGUUUCUAUUAGAAAACGUCCAAAUUAGGAAAAUCAAACUUGUGACGGUUCGACAAUCCACUGAAUUUGAGGGAACAAGAUUGUGAUUGGUGCUAUGGGAAUGAAUCAUCCAUAAGCAUCAAAGUUAGAACAUUCGAGUUCUAAGACAUGGUUUUCAUGAAAAACGUCGGGUUUUCAUGGGUGUAUUGUUUUAUGAAAUCUUCGGGUUUCAAAUGCACUAAAUUUGAAACUACAGGCUCAAUUUAGUUUAUGAACAUUUAGUUCAUAAAAGAGAGGUUCCUGCAAGAAACUCAGAAGGCAAUAUACUAACUUAGUGUAGUGCAUUUGAGUUGUCUUCAGGAACUCAAGUGUGAAAGCUUCGUUACUACGAAAGUAUGUGAUAGUUCAAAGAAGAGAAAUAAAUUAUUGAAUCGUUAAUGUCCAAAAGUGAUCUUCAGGUCAAUAAUUUUGGAUUCAUUAUCAGAUUAAUGGACUGCAUGUAACUUUUAAUUAAUUCAAUAGAUCGGGACCAUUUGGGGUUGAUCGUAAAAGCAAAAUAAUAUUAAAAUAAUAUUAUUGGAUCCAAAAUAGAGCCCCAAAAAUAAUUGGGCUUAAUGCCGGGGGUUAAGAGGCACGGGUUGGGUGCCUUAAGCAUAAGGCGAGGCCCAAAUGUUCCUUUGGUGGUGGCUGCAGGCCACGGGUGAGGAAUGGGAGACCCUAGCCGCAGCUGGGUCGUGUUUUGGGCCACAAGGGAGUGCACAGACAGGUCUAGCGCAAGCUGGCCUGUGGGUUAUCACGGGGAUCCCAGCGAAGGCUAGUUGCGUGAAAACAGCCCCAUAGUGACUGCAGGUCACGAGCUUGGGUAUAGGUGGCGCAGUGACAAGCCCAGCAUAUGUUGGCUAUAUGUAUGCCGGCCAGAGCAACAAAACCCAGCAACCAAAAAGGUUGCAGCGUGUGUAUGGGAGGACAGCCCAGACAAUUGGGCAGGUUGGAUGGCUGCGGGCCAAGGCCAGUGUGCAUAGGCUCAGGGCUGCAGGCCCUACCGAGGUAAAAUCCAGGCCUAGGCCUGGUGAUUAUUUGCACAAUGAUGGUGCGGUGGUGUGUCGCACCAUGUCCUGAUUCCCCCUUUUUUUUUUUUCAAAUCCUUUAGGGUUUAGGAAAACCCGAAACAUGCUUCUAAUUUAAUUGAAUACUUUGACUCACAAAUUCCACAUAGCAAUUAUUGCGUAAUGUAUGAAACAAAUAUAUAUAUUGACCAAUAUAUAAACAUAUACAAUAUAUAUAUCGGAAGGUAAAUAUAAAUGUAGGGGGUUCAUGCAUCAUGAGGAAUGUUUUCAUGCUUCAUGGGUCGUUUCAAAUAUCUUCCUUUAUUUUAAGCGUGCCUGAGUAGCAAAAAACAACAAAAGCCUUUGAAUUUGUAGAGGAUCCUUCUUGAAAGCCGGAAUUCUCCAAUGCGUUGUAUUACGUUCAACACAGAAAAAUUAAAUUGAAUCAAUAGCAUGUAGAUCAAUUUAAUAAAAUAAUAAAUUAAUCAUGAAAAGAAUGAUUAAAACGUAAUACUCUCCAAAUUGAAGAUCAAACUCUCUUGUUAGCGUAGCGUCAAGAGCGUGUUGAUAACGUGUUAUAGGCAUAAUUUACUGAACAAUUAUGGAGGCCUUAGAAAGAGAGAGGGGUGCGGCAAUAGAAAGAAGAAUAGAGAGAUGUGUAAUUAUGGGUGUGUAUUAUCUCACCCCAUUGUGCCUUUAUUUAUAGUAGUAUGAAGGGUAAAACCUUUCCCUUUAAGAUUACAACAUUUAAUAGGUAAUCUAGUCCUAAUAGGAAUAUAAGAUACAUUCCCAUAUUUCCUAGGAUUUACACAAUCACAUUCUUAUUCUAAAUAGGACUGCAACAGAAAUGUCAAUGUUGUUUAGUUUUUUAUGAUAAUUUUGUCGAAUUACUGAAAACUAAAGUAUAUUUGUGUCUUCAGCACUAAACUCACUCACUAGAAGCCAAUAAGUAUUCUAGCAAAUCAUAGAAAGUCUUAAAAACGUUUGUGGUCAGAUAAAACAGGGCCCUGUUGAGAAUUCAUGCUCUCCGACGGCCGAGAGGGCACUGAAACCUCACAACAGGAACAAGCAUAGCUGCACAACGCAUACUGUCAACCCAAGAGCUCAAAACAUUUAUGAUGCCUAACAAACAAAAUAAACAAAAAAAUGAAAAAUAGAGAGAGGAAAAUGUUGUGUGUGCGCUCAUUGAUCUUGACCCUCUUGAUCA
This 8031-nucleotide long non-coding RNA is filed under the name Malus domestica (apple). Its description in RNAcentral is "long non-coding RNA (MDOM_LNC010931)". The record is from RNAcentral. Lineage: Eukaryota; Viridiplantae; Streptophyta; Magnoliopsida; Rosales; Rosaceae.